Molecule: ribosomal RNA, 484 nt
Filed under: uncultured bacterium
Lineage: Bacteria
Description: partial 16S ribosomal RNA
Rfam family: Bacterial small subunit ribosomal RNA
Source: RNAcentral
AUUGAACGCUGGCGGCAUGCUUUACACAUGCAAGUCGAACGGCAGCGCGGGCUUCGGCCUGGCGGCGAGUGGCGAACGGGUGAGUAAUACAUCGGAACGUGCCCAGUAGUGGGGGAUAGCUCGGCGAAAGCCGGAUUAAUACCGCAUACGACCUAAGGGUGAAAGCGGGGGAUCUUCGGACCUCGCGCUAUUGGAGCGGCCGAUGGCAGAUUAGCUAGUUGGUGGGGUAAAGGCCUACCAAGGCGACGAUCUGUAGCUGGUCUGAGAGGACGACCAGCCACACUGGGACUGAGACACGGCCCAGACUCCUACGGGAGGCAGCAGUGGGGAAUUUUGGACAAUGGGCGAAAGCCUGAUCCAGCAAUGCCGCGUGUGUGAUGAAGGCCUUCGGGUUGUAAAGCACUUUUGGCGGGAACGAAAAGGACUGUGCCAAUACCACGGUUCGAUGACGGUACCCGCAGAAUAAGCACCGGCUAACUACGUG